ACAAUGAUGAUGUCACUGAUUCUACUGCUGGCCACCCUGGGGCUCCUUGUUCAGGGUUCAUCAGGACAAAUCACGGUGACUCAGUCUCCUGGAUCUCAGUCUGCUGUUCCAGGACAGGCUGUCUCUCUCAAAUGUAAAACCAGUACAAGUGUUACUAGUUAUGGGUCUAGCUGGCUCCACUGGUACCUUCAGAAACCUGGAGAAGCUCCUAAACUCCUGAUUUAUUAUGCUACAACCCGUCAGUCUGGAGUUCCAGAUCGUUUUAGUGGAAGUGGAUCUGGGACUGACUUCACUCUGACCAUCAGUGGAGUUCAGGCUGAAGAUUCAGGAGUUUACUACUGUCAGCAGAGUAACAGCAGACCGUUCACACAGUGAUACAACGUCGUACAAAAACCUCCCUCAGCUGGA
This is a non-coding RNA of Micropterus salmoides (largemouth bass), 408 nucleotides long. The record is from the annotation of a RefSeq genome assembly. Lineage: Eukaryota; Metazoa; Chordata; Actinopteri; Centrarchiformes; Centrarchidae.